This 5890-nucleotide long non-coding RNA is filed under the name Vitis vinifera (wine grape). Its description in RNAcentral is "long non-coding RNA (VVIN_LNC002267)". Lineage: Eukaryota; Viridiplantae; Streptophyta; Magnoliopsida; Vitales; Vitaceae. The record is from RNAcentral.
AACCAAGAGGAUUGAGUUAACUCCAUGGGACCUCCAUGUUCUUCUACUUGGUCCUAUCACAAGGGGUCUUCUCUUUCUCAAGCCUACACCCGGACCAGAGGAGAAUGGAUUACAAACCAUGACUGCUAUUGUAGAUCAUUUAAAGACCUCACUUUCUCGCACUCUGGACUUCUUCUACCCACUCGCCGGCCGCCUUGGUACCACUGUAAACGACGACGACGACACCACUUGUUUCUUCAUCGACUGCAAUGGCGCCGGAGCUCAGUUUAUCCAUGCAGCGGCCGGCGGUGUCACCGUGGCCGAUAUACUCGACCCUGUCUAUGUUCCUGAGAUUGUGUCUUCUUUUUUCUCACAAGAUGAAGUUCAGAACUACCAAGACGUUACCCAGCCGCUGCUCUCGGUGCAAGUGACGGAGCUGGUGGACGGGAUCUUUGUUGGUUGUACCCUCAAUCGUGUGCUGGCGGAUGGAAAGUCCUUCUGGCAUUUCUUCAAUUCGUGGUCGGAAAUCUCUCGGGGUUCCAAUAAAAUAUCCCUAUCUCCUGUUUUCAAGCGUUGGUUUGGGGAUGAUACCCACUACCCCAUACGAAUUCCUCAGUCAGCUAUGGUCUUUGAGCGGCCCACCACAUCAUCGCCAGUUCAAGAAAUGUUUUUUCACUUCUCAAAAGGAAAAAUUGCGGGGUUGAAAGCAAGAGCAAAUGCAGAAAUGGGCACCGACCGAAUUUCUUCUUUGCAGGCGCUGAUGGCCCAUUUUUGGCGCUCCACAAUUCGUGCUAGGCAUCUCCCCGAGGAUCAAGAGACUAUUUGUACAUUAGCAAUAGAUAUGAGACCGAGGCGACAUCCACAGAUGCCCCAACAAUACUUUGGGGUUGCAGUUCAGGGCGGGAUCGUAACAAUGAAAGUAGGGGAGCUGCUGGGGAUGGGGCUGGGUCAUGUGGCUUGGCAAAUGAACAAGAUUAUUUCUACCUUCACUGAAGUAAAAGCCACCAACUUCUUGAAAUCUUGGGCGAAAGACCCUAAGCCGGCUACAGAUAGCACCAUAAUGAUGAGAAUUGCUUUGAUCAUGGCCGGUUCGCCGCGGUUCAACGUAUACGGCAAUGAUUUUGGUUGGGGAAGGCCAGUUGCGGUUAGAGGUGGAGGUGGGAUCAAGUUGAAUGGAAAGGCCACCAGUUUCCAAGGAGCAGAAGAAGGGAGCAUUGAUAUUGAAGCUUGCUUAUCGCCUGAGACCUUGAAGGCUCUGAUGGAAGAUGCAGAGUUCAUGGGAUGAUGGAAGCUGUCACCGCUUCAUCUUAAUUUCUUUCUUUCACGAUAAUCUUAGGCCUUGCUUUCAGGAAGUUUGCUUUGAUUUUGCUUUUCUCCAUCUAUGUAUUUACAUUUCCUACUUGUCCUUCAACGGUUUAGAUUGCAUUUUCAUAGGGAUCAAUUCCAAUCCUAUAAUUUUCCUUCAAAAUAUGUAUUACUAAUUUAAAUAUAUAGUCUAUCAUUAACAUGCUAUACCAUUAACAUAUUUUUAAUCAAAAUUUUUUUAAAAUAUAAUUUUUUUAAUCAAAAUUUUUGUUUUACAAAAUUAGUAAAACAUCAAGAAAUUUAAAAAUGAAGAAAAUGAGCAAAAGAAAUAAACUUAUGAUCCAUAUAAUUUGUUUAUAGUAUAUCUCAAUGUAAGAUUCUUAUAGCUCAUGUAAAAAGAAUAUAAAAAUCAAUGUUUUUAGAAUCGGAUUUGUCAACGAACAAAAAAAUGUUACUAAUUCAUGAUUCGGUAAUCGGACCGAUGGUUGAAUCACGAUCGUACCCUUUACAUCAUAAAUAUAUAUUUUAUUAAAAUUAAAAUAAUUUUUAAAAAUUAUAAAUACAAUUAAAUUAAAAAUCAAUAAUAUUUAUUUUUUCAUCUUUUAUAUAAAUAUAUCAAUAUUUUAAAGUUUAUUAAAUAAAACAUAUAUAAUAUUACAUAUAGAAAAUUGAAGUGUAAUAUGUUAUUAAUUAAUUAUAUAUAUCUUAUUAUCUUAUAAGUUUUAAAAAUAUUAGAUAUUUGAAAUGAUUUUAUUAUAUUUUCUACAACUCUGAGCACAAACCAAAGAGUAGCAGGUUGGUACAACCUCUACUUUAAUUGAAAGCAUCUAAACUACUUUAUUGGAUUAUCGGGGAUAGAAGUGUUAAUUUCCAGUAUCCCCGACAAUCCAGGAAUUAUUGCACAUGGCCACUGCAAGAACAAUGAUAUAACUUAUACUUUUCUAGAUUCUCUAGAUCAACAAAUUCCAACAUGUUUGAAAGCUCCUUUAUUUUCUACAUUAAAUUUAGUUUAUAAUUAAUAACUAUCUCCUAAAAUUCUAUACCUUUGCUUUUUCAACAAUAUUUAAUAUUUUUAAUAAUUUCUCUUGAUUUCAAUGAAAUUCAUGUUUACAUUUUUUAAUUUUUUAAUUAAUUCAUUUCUUCGUUAUGAUAAAAAAAAAUUCAAUUUUCCUAAUUAAAUAAUAAUAAAAUUUAUUUUUCAAACGGUAGUCUAAUAUUUUUCGACAUGAAAUAAAUAAUUUAUUUUCCUUAUAUUUUUGGUUUCAGAUAACAUUGAAUUAAUAAUUAUGGUCUAAUUUUUUGAACGGUCGAUUUUUUACUAGUGAUAAUAUUAUAAAGCAUAUUUACCUAAGAGAAAAAGAGAUGACUCCACAACUACAGUUGCAGCUGCGAGUUCGAAACAGUCAAUUAAGAGAAUUGAGUUUACUCCAGUUUACUCUGAUUGGUCCAAUCCAAAAGGGUCUUCUCUUUCCCCAGCCUACACCCCAACCGCAACACUAUGGCAUCAUGGAUCAGUGAAUUAAAAACCUCCCUUUCUCGCACUCUAGGCUUUUUCUACACACCCGCCGGCCGCCUUGGCACCACCGUGAACGAGGACAAACCAUUUGUUUAUAUAGGAAGAGUGUAUAGUCAAGUCAAAAUGUGUUUUUAAAGAUAGCAACAUGGGUAUAUUAACUAACUUUCCUUAAUCUAAUGGGCUUGUGGAAAGGCGCAGGGAAGCCUCACACAUCCAUGGGUCGAGUCUAUUUGAGUGGAGUUUGGGAUCGGGCCAAAAUUCCUUAAUGCAAGGGUUCUCCCUUGCGUACGUGCGAGUUCAACUAUUUUUAACAAAAUAAAAUUAUUUUUUUAAUUUUAUUUCAGUUUGAGUUAGCCUUUUAUUUUGGCCAAGUCACCCAACGGGUCUCAUCCCUCAACUCUUUAAAAAAACUAAUUUAUAACAAGUUUUCUAAGUCUUUCAAUAUUCUGGUUUUUUUGCCUUCCUACAUUUAUAAGGAAGAAGAUUAUUUUGGAAUCCGAACUGUACAUAUUUCGAUUGCAGAGUGUACCCAAGGCCAAAUCCAAGGAUUUAACAAUCCAUGAAUUAUUGAAUCCUAAAGGUAAAUCACUUAUUCACUGGUGCACCAAACUCAUCUUAAAAGAGGAUGAAUUUAUUUUAAGGACGAUGCAUUGUCACGCAUUAACCUAUUAUACCUAUAAGUUUCCAUUUACUCUUUCUGUUCUUUGCUUGCGUGUAUUGGGCUAGGUCAAGUCCUCUUCUAUUUUAUGCCCUUAGAACAACAGUUUCUUCAUCGGCUGUGAUGGCGCCGGAGCUCAGUUUAUCCAUGCAGCUGCCCCUGGCGUCACCGUGGCCGAUAUCCUUGAGCCUGCCUACGUUUCUCCGAUCGUCCAUUCUUUUUUCCCACUCGAUGGAACCCAGAACUGCAAUGGCGUUUCGGAGCCGUUGCUGGCAGUGCAAGUGACUUAGCUCGUUGAUGGCGUCUUUAUUGGUUGCACUAGCAGUCACAUGAUUGUGGACGGCACAUACUUCUGGCAUUUCUUUAAUUCAUGGUCGGCAAUCUCUCGGGGUUCCAAUGAAAUAACCCUAUCUUCUGUUCUCGAUCGCCGGUUUGUUGAUGAUACCCACUACCCCAUCCGAAUCCCUUGGUCGCUACUAGUCUUUGCUAGGCCCACAAUCGCGCCAAUGCGAGAGGAUUUUCCACUUCACAAAAGCAAAAAUUGCAGUGCUGAAAGCAAGAGUUAAUACGCAGCCACCAAAUUUCCCCUUUGCAAGCCCUCUUGGCCCAUCUUACGAAAUCUUCCUUCCCCGAAAUUAGAUUAGGCAAGGCAAAUAAAAAAAAUUUCAUAGUUAAAGGUGUGGAAUAGGUAAAAUCCGAUGAAAAUUUGAAAAUCAAGUAAGGAAUAGAUAAAAUCCGAUGAAAAUUUGAAAAUCAAGUAAGGAAAAUGCCUUUAUUUUUUAUUCUUCAUUCUUCACGCCCAGGAUUACGUCCCAGAUCAUUAGAUAGGAAUCUGAAGAUGAAGAUAGAAACAAAGAAUAUCACUACUGUGUCUGAAAUCUUACAGUCUAUGAUAGAAGAUGCAGAGUUCGUGGAAACUCUCACCAUUUGAUCUUAAUUUCAUACUUCUUAAAUUAGGGUUUGACUUCUUAGUAUUUGCUUUCUUUUGCUGGGCUUAUGAUCUUGAUUAUUUGAUGAGAUUUAUAUCUCACACUAAAUAUAUAGUCAUCAAAUUAAAGUCGUUGGUUCUAAUUUCUUUUCAAUUACAAAAUGAAUACCCCAUCAUAUCCGUAUAUAAUAUAAUUAAAAUAAUAAUAAAUAAAUAAUAAUAAAAAGAUUAGGUUUUGACCGCCAGCCCUCAUCUUCAUCCUCAACCACCACCGUCGUCCAGCCAACGCCCCCGCUUCCUCUGCGUCCUCUCCGCAACCUAGAGGAAGAGUGAAUUAGGGCUGGACUAGAACUGGCCCAAGCGCAACCCAACAAAAAUUAAAUCAGAAUGCAAGACAAUAUUUUUCUUUUUCAUUUUUCUGAAAAAUAGAAAAGGUGAAACGCCCAUUUUCUCGGUUUGAUUUAGUAUGGAAAAUACAAAAAAUUAAAAUAAAUAAAAUUAAUUAAAAAAAUUAAAUAUUUUUAAAUCAUUUAACUUUUUUAUAAAAUAAAAUAUCCAAAUGAAUUUUAAAAAUAUAUAAAAUUAAUUUAUUAACUUUAUUUAUUUUCCUCUUUUUUUUUUCUUUUUCCUCCUAUUUUCUUUUAAUUUUUCUUAAAAUUUUCCUUAAAAUUACAAAAAAAAAUAAUUUAUUAAAUUUAUUUUAGGAUGUAUAUUAAGAUUUAAGCAAAAUUAAUAUUUUAAAAACUAACAAAAAAUGUAUAAAAUAUAUUUAAUUUCAUUGUUAUCAAAUUUUCUAUUUUUAUACAAUAUAUACUUUAUUUUCUUACACAAAGUUAUUUUUUAGGGAAAAUAUGCUUUUACUUUUUAUUUUUUAAAUUCUUAAUUAAAUAAAAAUAAUUUUAAUUUUUAAAAUUUGAGGAGUGUGUGAUUCUAAGGGUGCGUUUGACUAAUAUUCACUAUUUAUUGAUCCAUCCAUUAAUUAAUAUUAACUUAAUCAAUAGAUUUUACUUGUGACGUCUUAAACCUUAGUAGGAAGGGUAGAUGAGGCCAGUGACACAAACACAGAGAUCAGAGAAUCUGAUCAGAAAAGGCAGGCAGAUAUAUAGCUCCAAGCCUCCCAUAGAUGUGACUGAGUUUUGAGGUUUGUGGUAUAGAAGAUGGAAGGAAUUAUAAGUUUCAUUUCCACAACUACAGUUAGACCGGCGAGUCCGGAGGAGUCAACCAGGAGGAUCGAGUUAACCCCAUGGGACCUCCAGUUGCUUCUACUUGGCUCUAUCAAAAAGGGCCUUCUCUUUCUCAAGCCGACACCCGGACCAGAGGAGAAUGGAUUACAAACCAUAACUGCUAUUGUAGAUCAUUUAAAGACCUCACUUUCUCGCACUCUGGACUUCUUCUACCCACUCGCCGGCCGCCUUGGUACCACUGUAAACGAAGACGACGACACAACUUGUUUCUUCAUCGACUGCAACGGCGCCGGAGCUCAGUUUAUCCAUGCAGCGGCCGG